CCCUGCUGCUCCUGAGGCUGACAUGGGAGAUCCUCUUGAGCUCAGGACUUCUGGGAUCCAGGGCACUCUGUGAUCGUCCACAAGGGAACAUCCCAGCAGCAGGGGACCACCAGGUGGCCUAUGGAGGGGUCUGAAAUGGAGCAGGUCAAAAUUGCCCUGCUGAUCAGUACCACAUUGUGCCUGUGAGUAGCCACUGCCCUCCAGCCUGGGCAACAUCUCUAGACCCCGUCCC
RNAcentral lists this small RNA (232 nucleotides) under Cervus elaphus hippelaphus. The record is from RNAcentral. Lineage: Eukaryota; Metazoa; Chordata; Mammalia; Artiodactyla; Cervidae.